AGUGAACGCUGGCGGUAGGCCUAACACAUGCAAGUCGAACGGCAGCACAGUAAGAGCUUGCUCUUACGGGUGGCGAGUGGCGGACGGGUGAGGAAUACAUCGGAAUCUACUUUUUCGUGGGGGAUAACGUAGGGAAACUUACGCUAAUACCGCAUACGACCUACGGGUGAAAGCAGGGGAUCUUCGGACCUUGCGCGAUUGAAUGAGCCGAUGUCGGAUUAGCUAGUUGGCGGGGUAAAGGCCCACCAAGGCGACGAUCCGUAGCUGGUCUGAGAGGAUGAACAGCCACACUGGAACUGAGACACGGUCCAGACCCCUACGGGAGGCAGCAGUGGGGAAUAUUGGACAAUGGGCGCAAGCCUGAUCCAGCCAUACCGCGUGGGUGAAGAAGGCCUUCGGGUUGUAAAGCCCUUUUGUUGGGAAAGAAAAGCAGCAGGUUAAUACCCCGCUGUUCUGACGGUACCCAAAGAAUAAGCACCGGCUAACUUCGUG
RNAcentral lists this ribosomal RNA (492 nucleotides) under uncultured bacterium. RNAcentral's name for it is "partial 16S ribosomal RNA". It matches the Rfam family "Bacterial small subunit ribosomal RNA", at positions 29 to 507 of the family's 1533-position model. The record is from RNAcentral.